AACCUUGGAUUGUUUGCUACCAGAGCUGUGGAGUGUGACAAUGGUGUUUGUGUCCAGUCUAUCAAACGCCAUUAUCACACUAAAUAGCUACUGUAGGGCCAUCCGUCUCUU
RNAcentral lists this microRNA precursor (111 nucleotides) under Ornithorhynchus anatinus (platypus). RNAcentral's name for it is "microRNA oan-mir-122 precursor". Its record names the gene oan-mir-122. The stretch from base 21 to 93 matches the Rfam family "mir-122 microRNA precursor family". Rfam says of the family: In mammals, miR-122 is enriched in liver cells where it has been implicated as a regulator of fatty-acid metabolism in mouse studies. Lineage: Eukaryota; Metazoa; Chordata; Mammalia; Monotremata; Ornithorhynchidae. The record is from miRBase by way of RNAcentral.